This 259-nucleotide long non-coding RNA is filed under the name Gossypium barbadense (sea-island cotton). Its description in RNAcentral is "long non-coding RNA (GBAR_LNC009564)". Lineage: Eukaryota; Viridiplantae; Streptophyta; Magnoliopsida; Malvales; Malvaceae. The record is from RNAcentral.
UUUUCUUCCAUAUCCAUCAUCGAUUUACUUCUUUCACUUUCCCUUCCAAUUUAACCGAACCUAUACAUAUUAUUCUUAUCCAUAAACCAUCAUAGAACCAUUAUACAUAGCUUCCGUCCUAUUUUUCCAUCAACUUCAUUUCAAAAGUGAAUUGAACGAUACUUUCUCGUAGACGAUCGGGCAACUUAGCAUACGACUCGACUCUCCCCGAGGCGGUUCGUAUCAUUUGGUAUCAGAGCUACUAAAACGAGAAGAUCGU